This 1348-nucleotide long non-coding RNA is filed under the name Ananas comosus (pineapple). RNAcentral describes it as "long non-coding RNA (ACOM_LNC016918)". Lineage: Eukaryota; Viridiplantae; Streptophyta; Magnoliopsida; Poales; Bromeliaceae. The record is from RNAcentral.
GAAAAUAUUGUUUCAUAAAAAACUCUGAGGUGGAAAUGAAACAGAAAAAAAUAAAGAGUAAAAAACAAAGAAUAAAAAAAAUAGAAAAAAGAAAAGAAUAAAUGAGCGGCUAGAGUUUCAGUGUUUCACUAGAAUGAAAAUACUUAGAGACCCCUCAUCUAUAAGUCCUAUUAAAAUUGAUUCCUCAACUUCAACAGUUCAAAUAUUUUUUAUUUACUAUCCGAUAUUUCAUCAGGUCCGAGAAAGGGUCCAUAUUUGAAAACUAUUCCGAGCUCUACCCAUUUAAAAGUUGGGCUCAGGUGUAAUAUACCAAACUACUACAAUCAUGAAUUUUGGUACGAACUAGCUUAAAAAGCUAUUAAAAUGUUCCAGUGAAGUUUGGGGAGCAUUUGAGUGUUUUCGGUACAAAUCGGGCGCAAACACGGACUCCAAAAUCUGAAAUUUGCCUAAGUUGCAUAUUUUGUAUUGAGUCCCAGUACUGGAAUCUGAGCACCGGUACGCAAUACAAAAUUAGGAAAAUGAGCUCUCAGGUUUUGAGGAAUCAAACCUGCGUACCGGUACUGAAUUUGGGUUGGGUAUCGGUACUAGAAAUCAAGUACCGAUACGUAGUAGAAAAUCGAGAAUCCAACGUUUGGGUUUUGAAGUACUGGAAAUUAGGUAUCGGUACUGGAUGCCCGAGUACCGGUACGCCAACCCGACUACCGAUACUCAACCUUGCAUAAUGCAGUUUUUGAGGGGUAAAUAGAUAAUUUCAUUGGGGGCUUAUACAUAGGGGUCCCUAUCCCCUUCUCUACAGAAAACACACACGCAUAUAGAGAGGGAGAGAGUAGCUCAUCUCUCUUACUCUCUUCUUCCUCAUCUCCUAUUUGGAGAUCUUGGUGGAGAUCGAACUGGGAAGCUUGGAGUUGCGGUGAAUCGAGCUCUCGUGCACUUGGUGGUUCGGAGCACUUCCGACUAGAGAUUUGUUUUUGGAAGUGACUAGGUGGGUUGUGCUUCACCGAAGUGACUAGAUCGCUUCCAUGUCAAAAAGUAAAGUAUGAUAUUAUUAUUGAUGCAUGCAUGUAAUGGUAGAUUAAUUGAUAAACAAAGUGUAUGAAUCAUAUGUUGCUACAUUAAACUAUCUACCAUUGGACAAGAACAUAGGCGGGCGGAACAUAAGAUAUAAAUGUAUGCCUAGGUGUGGACAUUGAACAUAGAUCAAUGAACUCUAAAAAAAUUAGAAAACUUGUAACACACUGAACUUUAGCAAAUAGCAAGGUUCCAGUAUUCGAAUAGUGUUUGAUACUAUUCUAGGUGUGUUCGAGGGUCGGGGAUGUGUUCUGAACUAUUACUUGCGUCUUGAGAAGCG